Capsicum annuum is the source of this 1892-nucleotide long non-coding RNA. RefSeq lists it as uncharacterized. Lineage: Eukaryota; Viridiplantae; Streptophyta; Magnoliopsida; Solanales; Solanaceae. The transcript is spliced from 2 exons. The record is from RefSeq and is a predicted model, not a curated record.
UUAUUAAUUAUAAAAAGAGUUCUAUUUUACUUGCACUUUGAAAUGACAAUGACAUAACAAAUUAGAAAUAUCAAUCACAAAAUUUUUAUUCAUGUUUGUUAUGGUUGUGGGUAUAAUAUAUGAUUUCAAGCGUGAAAAAUUAUAUAUAUAAUAUAGAAGAUAUCGAAGUCACUGUUGCUAAAAAAAGUUCAUUAUCGAAGAUGAUUGAGGGACAUGCUUCUGAUUUUGAUUCGCGUAUGUGCUGCUAGUUCUGUUUCACUAUCUAUUAUUACUGCUCUCCUGUCGGUGUGACAAUCUGAGUAUGUUGUGCUCUCUUUCCUGCUCAAACGAAUUCAGCUAAGUAGAAAAAUUUGGGUUAAAAAAAGAUAAUGAAGGGAAUUUCCAUACUUCUACAGUUGGAGAUGAAUUAUUAUAACAUUAAAUGGUACCCUUAAGAAAAUAUUUGUUUGAUAUACUAUAUUGAGUUAUAAUUUAAAAAUAAAUUAGUUAGGUAUUGGAAAUUUUUUUCAAAAAAAAAAAAAAUUAAGAAAUUAAACUUGGUAUGAGUUGGAUGAGUUGAGUUGUUACACAUUAUUUAGCACAUUUUAACUUUAUUAAAUUAUCGAAUCCACACAUUUUAACUUGAUCUAUUUGGUUCGACUCACCAUUUGACACCCCUAGAUACUUUUAGGUGAUAACUGCCCUGCCGUGUUUAGAAAUGUGAUUAGAUCAAUUUAAAAAUAAGAAAAAUACAUCAUUUCAUCUUUAAAUCAGUAUACAUAAUUUAAUUUAGAUCCUAAACUAUAUAGAUAAUUAUAUAUCCCCCUUAAUAACUCUGAAGUGAAUUAAAUUUAACCCUUCGAAGCCCAAGUGAAGUCACAUGUUGCUGGAUGUGUUAAAUAGAUAACUUUGUCUUUUAUUUUAUUUUUUAAACUAAAAUUUUCCUUUUAAAUAAUGUAACGGUUAUAAAAUCCCCAAAUUCUCCUAAAAAUUCUAAUUUACUCCUUUCUCAAUCUAUCCAAAAUUUGCUCCAUCUAUAAAAUUUAAGCAAAAAUUGAGAUUGAUUUCUCUUCCAAUUUAAAGAAUCCUAUUUUAUUUUUGUAGCACAUAAUGAGGUCAGUUAAUUUGACUAAAUUUUGUAUGAAAGAAAAUGAUAAUGCUUUGUACAAAGAAGUUUGUUGUAAUCAUGAAUUUUUGUUGCAUAUGAAGACAUCUUGAACUUCGAGGAAUUUUGGCAUAAAAUAUUGGGCAUGUCCUUAUCAUGGGGGUCAAAGAUUUUGAGACUUUUAGUGUUGAAGGGAUAGAGAAGAUAUUAAUUCGAGGUCCAAAGAUGUGAUUCCUAAACUAAUAGAGAAAUUAGGUGACCUUGAGAAUUUUUUGAGUCUUCUCAAUGUAUUGACAAUCAUGUAUUGGUUAAUGAAGUUGAAAAAUUUAAGUUGAAUAAAUUUGUUGAGGAAGCUUCUCACGAAGUAGACAAGCCCAAAGAAUCCAAACAAGAUGAUAAGUGUGUUGAUAUGAAAUUAGAGAAGUUGAAAGAAGAGAUUGAGAAGAUCAAAGAAAGAGAGAAGAAGUGGAGAAUAAUUGUCAAAUUUAUUGUGUUUUGUUCCUUUGUACUACUAAUAGCUAUAAGCUAUUGGCUUGGGAUAAUACAUAUAAACAAGGUUCAAUGAGGUUUUUUUAGCACUAGGUUGUUGUUAGAUUAUAUGUAGCAUAUUUUGUAUUGAACGGUGCAGCUUCUUUAAGCUUCUUUUGUAAUAUAAUUGGGUUGGUGGUUGUCUCUUGAGCACUAGGUUGUUAGAUGAUAUCUAGCAUAUUUUGUAUUGAAUGGAGUAGCUUCUUUAAGCUUCUUUUGUAAUGUACUUUAGCUAGUAAUUGUAUCUUGAUAUAUAUGAAGAGAGGUUGAAUUGAUUGCA